Molecule: transfer RNA, 85 nt
Filed under: Bacteroidota bacterium
Lineage: Bacteria; Pseudomonadati; Bacteroidota
Also listed under: 3 other names
Description: Bacteroidetes bacterium (aquifer metagenome) tRNA-Leu
Rfam family: tRNA
About the family: Transfer RNA (tRNA) molecules are approximately 80 nucleotides in length. Their secondary structure includes four short double-helical elements and three loops (D, anti-codon, and T loops).
Source: RNAcentral
GCCCCGGUGGUGGAAUUGGUAGACACGCAGGACUUAAAAUCCUGUGGCCCCAAAGGCUGUACCGGUUCGAUUCCGGUUCGGGGUA